CAAGUCGAGCGAGAAGACGUAGCAAUACGUUUGUAAAGCGGCGAACGGGUGAGGAAUACAUGGGUAACCUACCCUCGAGUGGGGAAUAACUAGCCGAAAGGUUAGCUAAUACCGCAUACGACUCCUGGUCUGCGGAUCGGGAGGGAAAGCGAUACCGUGGGUAUCGCGCUCUUGGAUGGGCUCAUGUCCUAUCAGCUUGUUGGUGAGGUAACGGCUCACCAAGGCUUCGACGGGUAGCUGGUCUGAGAGGACGAUCAGCCACACUGGCACUGCGACACGGGCCAGACUCCUACGGGAGGCAGCAGUAAGGAAUAUUGCGCAAUGGGCGACAGCCUGACGCAGCGACGCCGCGUGGGGGAUGAAGGUCUUCGGAUUGUAAACCCCUUUCGGCAGGGAAGAUGGAAUGGGUAACCAUUCGGACGGUACCUGCAGAAGCAGCCACGGCUAACUUCGUGCCAGCAGCCGCGGUAAUACGAAGGUGGCAAGCGUUGUUCGGAUUUACUGGGCGUACAGGGAGCGUAGGCGGUUGGGUAAGCCCUCCGUGAAAUCUCCGGGCCUAACCCGGAAAGUGCGGAGGGGACUGCUCGGCUAGAGGAUGGGAGAGGAGCGCGGAAUUCCCGGUGUAGCGGUGAAAUGCGUAGAGA
This 644-nucleotide ribosomal RNA is filed under the name uncultured bacterium. RNAcentral's name for it is "bacterial SSU rRNA". It matches the Rfam family "Bacterial small subunit ribosomal RNA", at positions 58 to 696 of the family's 1533-position model. The record is from RNAcentral.